Eriocheir sinensis (Chinese mitten crab) is the source of this 204-nucleotide long non-coding RNA. RefSeq lists it as uncharacterized. The record is from RefSeq and is a predicted model, not a curated record. Lineage: Eukaryota; Metazoa; Arthropoda; Malacostraca; Decapoda; Varunidae. The transcript is spliced from 3 exons.
GCCUGCGUGUGCCCCAAGGGCAGCUUCUCGCGCGGAGGAUGGCCCGUCACGUGCUGCCGCUGGUGCUGCUUGUUGUGGCUCUGGUGGUGCGGCUCAUUCUGUCCGCGCCUCUCCACGAGCCCGACCGCGACAUGACCCAGGAGACUCACGGCCCGGUGCACGCUGUGAUGGUGGAGCAAUCAAUCUUCGGCGGACUGGGGCUCG